CAGUCGCGUCUGCCGGAACUCAGCCUUGCUCUUUUGCUUGGUGUAUUUUCUGGUAGACGGGCCAGCAUCGAUUUUGGCCGUCGGAUAAGGCUCGAGGGAAUGUGGCACCUCCGGGUGUGUUAUAGCCCUUGUUCACAUACGACGGCUGGGAUCGAGGACCGCAGCACGCCUUUUGGCCGGGGUUCGCCCCACGUCCGUGCUUAGGAUGCUGGCGUAAUGGCUUUAAACGCCCGUCUUGAAACACGGACCAAGGAGUCUAGCAUAUAUGCGAGUGUU
This 276-nucleotide ribosomal RNA is filed under the name Paraglomus brasilianum. The record is from RNAcentral. Lineage: Eukaryota; Fungi; Glomeromycota; Glomeromycetes; Paraglomerales; Paraglomeraceae.